This is a long non-coding RNA of Marmota monax (woodchuck), 325 nucleotides long. RefSeq lists it as uncharacterized. The transcript has 2 exons. NCBI's taxonomy places the organism in Eukaryota, Metazoa, Chordata, Mammalia, Rodentia, Sciuridae. The record is from RefSeq and is a predicted model, not a curated record.
UUGCUCAAGGACCAAGGCAGAUUAGGGUGUUCCCGGUUUUAAGAUAAUCGUGUUUAGGGCAUUCCCAGUUUAGGUUCCAGGUUUAAGGUUUAAGAUUAUUCCUGCUGGGAAUAGGGCGUAUCCUGCUGCCUGAGUUCCCCUUGAGUUCUCACGGGAUUCAGACAAUAUAUUUUGGAGAUAGAAGCCCAGUGGAGGUGGAUUUGGGCAGAGAACGUGAAUUUGGGAGAGAAGGUGGAUUUGGGAAGAGAACGUGGAUUUCCCCAGAACAUGAUUGUAGACGGCUGGUGUGAGUUCGGGAAUAAAGAGUUGCUGUUUGAAUCUACAA